CCUACGGGAGGCAGCAGUGAGGAAUAUUGGUCAAUGGGCGGAAGCCUGAACCAGCCAAGUCGCGUGAGGGAAUAAGGCCCUACGGGUCGUAAACCUCUUUUGCCGGGGAGCAAGGGCGGGGACGUGUCCCGGCCCGGAGAGUACCCGGAGAAAAAGCAUCGGCUAACUCCGUGCCAGCAGCCGCGGUAAUACGGAGGAUGCGAGCGUUAUCCGGAUUUAUUGGGUUUAAAGGGUGCGUAGGCGGGCUUUUAAGUCAGCGGUAAAAAUUCGGGGCUCAACCCCGUCCGGCCGUUGAAACUGGUUUUCUAGAGUUGGAGAGAAGGAUGCGGAAUUCGUGGUGUAGCGGUGAAAUGCAUAGAUAUCACGAAGAACUCCGAUUGCGAAGGCAGCAUACCGGCUCCAUACUGACGCUGAGGCACGAAAGCGUGGGGAUCGAACAGGAUUAGAUACCCGGGUAGUC
RNAcentral lists this ribosomal RNA (460 nucleotides) under uncultured bacterium. Its description in RNAcentral is "partial 16S ribosomal RNA". It matches the Rfam family "Bacterial small subunit ribosomal RNA", at positions 338 to 795 of the family's 1533-position model. The record is from RNAcentral.